GGUGAAGGCAGAGGGUGCAGAGGAUUUAGCAAAGCAGAACGGUGAGGCAGAGGCCACUGAGGCGGUAGCUGACGAGGCAGAGUUAGAAGAUGACGAGGAUGAUGAUGUUGCGGACGAGCCAGACAUAGAAGAGGAAGAGGGUGCAGAGGCGCUGCUGGCGCCGGCGGCGGAGCAGACGGAGCAGUUCAACGAGCAGCUAAAGGACCGGCUGAAGGGGAACGUGGACCGGUUCGAGGAGAUGGUGCAGCACGAGGAGGAGAUCCGGCUUGGGGACGAGGGC
This 280-nucleotide long non-coding RNA is filed under the name Coccomyxa subellipsoidea. RNAcentral's name for it is "long non-coding RNA (CSUB_LNC000752)". The record is from RNAcentral. Lineage: Eukaryota; Viridiplantae; Chlorophyta; Trebouxiophyceae; Coccomyxaceae.